RNAcentral lists this transfer RNA (71 nucleotides) under Loxodonta africana (African savanna elephant). It matches the Rfam family "tRNA". Rfam says of the family: Transfer RNA (tRNA) molecules are approximately 80 nucleotides in length. Their secondary structure includes four short double-helical elements and three loops (D, anti-codon, and T loops). The record is from Rfam by way of RNAcentral. Lineage: Eukaryota; Metazoa; Chordata; Mammalia; Proboscidea; Elephantidae.
ACAUUGCAGGUUCAGUGGAGGAAUUCUCACCUUCCACAUGGGUGACCCAGGUUUGAUUCCUGGCCAAUGCA